This 1447-nucleotide long non-coding RNA is filed under the name Felis catus (domestic cat). RNAcentral describes it as "lncRNA (ENSFCAG00000048078.1)". Lineage: Eukaryota; Metazoa; Chordata; Mammalia; Carnivora; Felidae. The record is from RNAcentral.
GUUACACACAGCUGAAUCUAAUCCUAAUACAUCUCUCCUUUCAGAAAUGCCAGCUAAUUUUAGCACAGGCUACAAAUAGGAAAAUCAUGAAAAAUCAGUCAUCAAAACAAAUAAUAAAAUAUGUAGUAGAAUACAACUAAUUUAAAAAAAUGUAGGCAGAAAAAAUUAAGCAGGGAGGCAUCAGUCAUAUUUUGCCUUUUUUUUUUUUUUUUUUUUUUUUUAACUUCACAAGAACGUAUGUAGGUGUGGCAAAGCAGGCACUCUGUUCGCUGGAUGUGGUCGGGAAUUCGUUGAACCUUCCAGAGAAAGAGGCUUGGUACAUACCAAGAGCCAGGAACACCUCUCUGAAGCUGCCGUCUGAAGGAAAUACUCUGACAUUUGACAAGGCGCGUGUACUGGAAGAGGAAGAAGCGUAUCUUCUCCAUCUUCUGCAAAGCGCGAGUCCCUUAAACCGAAUUAUAACGAGGUGUAACGUCCAUGCAGUGCAUCAGACCCGUCUUCACAGACAGGUACACCCGCUCACCGCCACCCAGUUGAAACAUACCCGGCAGGUUCCCUUCCCUGGUCCUGGGAAGGACUCAUGUUGAUUCACAGUCUUUAAAAAACCCCGGCUGGCUGGGUGGAGGGUGGGUUGGUGAAGGGCAGGGGAAGGAGUGGACUUCUCAGGCCGGUCAUCCGCUCCCAGGGGCCACCGUGGGUGGGGCGGGAGUGGCCUGUGGCCUCGGCCCUGCAUCUGGCUCCCAAGGCUGCUCAGGCCUCUCGGCUGACCGGGUCCCUCUGCUCUGGCACUGGGACAUCGUUAGGAUGCUGCACACUGGGUCAUCUGAUCAGGGUGGGGGGUUCCUGCCCUUUUGCCGCCAGACUCACUGUCAGAAGGCGGGGGGUGGAUGGAGCUGGGGACACGUGGGCACAGUGGUGUGAGCCACCAGGCUUGCCUCCAAGACUCUUUAAGAGCUAGCAUUUAUCGGGCGCCAACUGCACGUUAGGCUGUCUGCAAUAACCCUGCACAGGAGCAAUUAUUACCUUCAGUUUUACUGCCGGGAAACUGAGCUCGAGUGAGAGGAGUUACUUGGCCUGGGGAGCUGGGUGGAACCAGUAUUUGAACUGAGGCCUGUUUGAUGCCAAAGCCUGGGUGCUAUCCAGUGCCCCCCACAACCUUGCUGGUCUGGUCCCGCUGAAGGAAGGUGUAGGCCAGCUGGCCGGGGAGGUCUAUACGCAGAGGUCUGGACCGCAGCCGGCCCCCGGCUCUGUUCAGUCUGACUGUCUGCUUAUGUCCAGCUGUGAGGCACAGGGGAACCUGGGUCCAACUGGGCAGAAUCUGUGAUGGGAAGUUUGCUCCUCAGGGGCCAGCUGGCUGCGACUCCCAGCUUCUUGGCUGACCGCCUGGAUGCUCCAGACCUGGGUAGGCGGAAAGGGGGUGGAGCAGGGGAGCGAAGGGGUCUGGAGC